Molecule: long non-coding RNA, 510 nt
Filed under: Anas platyrhynchos platyrhynchos (common mallard)
Lineage: Eukaryota; Metazoa; Chordata; Aves; Anseriformes; Anatidae
Description: lncRNA (ENSAPLG00000029601.1)
Source: RNAcentral
AUGUUUCACUGGCAAAGCGAGAGGAGGAAACAUGUGGUGCUCUGCUCCAGGGUGAAAGGGCAGCCAUCAGCAGCACCUUCAUCAGCAUCCUGCAGAUCACAGCCUCGAACCCAGGACCAGCACGGCCACUGCAGCUCCAGUCUGUCACCACUCACAGGCUGGGCACAGGAGACUUGGGGAUGUUGGGACUGCAAGGACAGCCUUACCCCAAGUUUCUUGACAGUCCUGCUCAGGAUCAGGGGCUUUGGAACAGGUUCAGUAACAACAGGUGGUCAAAACCCGAGCUCUCACAAGCCACCCAGUUUCAUGUGCCACAGAGGGCAUGGCACAGAUGACAUUUUGCAGAGCAGUUUCUCUCUAGGCCCUGUAAAGCCUCAAGGAGAAGCACCAGCCAAAACUGAAGUGGAAGCAGACUCUGAAUUUGUUCCAUUGACAUAUUGCUUUGCCACCACAGAGAAGCAAGACAUGCAGCUCUGGAGAAGUAUAAGGAUGGCUAAACUCUCAGCUUGA